UAGCUACGUCUAUGGCGCAUGUCUAUGG
This 28-nucleotide small RNA is filed under the name Bombyx mori (domestic silkworm). RNAcentral describes it as "ovarian small RNA-22469". The record is from RNAcentral. Lineage: Eukaryota; Metazoa; Arthropoda; Insecta; Lepidoptera; Bombycidae.